AUUGAACGCUGGCGGCAGGCCUAACACAUGCAAGUCGAGCGGAUGAAGGGAGCUUUCUCCUGGAUUCAGCGGCGGACGGGUGAGUAAUGCCUAGGAAUCUGCCUGGUAGUGGGGGAUAACGUCCGGAAACGGGCGCUAAUACCGCAUACGUCCUGAGGGAGAAAGUGGGGGAUCUUCGGACCUCACGCUAUCAGAUGAGCCUAGGUCGGAUUAGCUAGUUGGUGGGGUAAAGGCCUACCAAGGCGACGAUCCGUAACUGGUCUGAGAGGAUGAUCAGUCACACUGGAACUGAGACACGGUCCAGACUCCUACGGGAGGCAGCAGUGGGGAAUAUUGGACAAUGGGCGAAAGCCUGAUCCAGCCAUGCCGCGUGUGCGAAGAAGGUCUUCGGAUUGUAAAGCACUUUAAGUUGGGAGGAAGGGCAGUAAGUUAAUACCUUGCUGUUUUGACGUUACCAACAGAAUAAGCACCGGCUAACUUCGUG
Molecule: ribosomal RNA, 484 nt
Filed under: uncultured bacterium
Lineage: Bacteria
Description: partial 16S ribosomal RNA
Rfam family: Bacterial small subunit ribosomal RNA
Source: RNAcentral